Molecule: ribosomal RNA, 237 nt
Filed under: uncultured bacterium
Lineage: Bacteria
Description: partial 16S ribosomal RNA
Rfam family: Bacterial small subunit ribosomal RNA
Source: RNAcentral
CGAACGGGUGAGUAACGCGUGAGGAACCUGCCUCAAAGAGGGGGACAACAGUUGGAAACGACUGCUAAUACCGCAUAAGCCCACGGUGCCGCAUGGCACAGAGGGAAAAGGAGCAAUCCGCUUUGAGAUGGCCUCGCGUCCGAUUAGCUAGUUGGUGAGGUAAUGGCCCACCAAGGCGACGAUCGGUAGCCGGACUGAGGGGUUGAACGGCCACAUUGGGACUGAGACACGGCCCAG